This 83-nucleotide transfer RNA is filed under the name Dechloromonas sp. Its description in RNAcentral is "tRNA-OTHER". It matches the Rfam family "tRNA". From Rfam's summary of the family: Transfer RNA (tRNA) molecules are approximately 80 nucleotides in length. Their secondary structure includes four short double-helical elements and three loops (D, anti-codon, and T loops). The record is from RNAcentral. Lineage: Bacteria; Pseudomonadati; Pseudomonadota; Betaproteobacteria; Rhodocyclales; Azonexaceae.
GCCGACGUGGUGGAAUUGGAGACACGCUAUCUUGAGGGGUAGUGGCGCGAGCUGUGCGAGUUCGAGUCUCGCCGUCGGCACCA